Molecule: small RNA, 490 nt
Filed under: uncultured Ascomycota
Lineage: Eukaryota; Fungi; Ascomycota
Description: eukaryotic LSU rRNA
Rfam family: 5.8S ribosomal RNA (bases 175-328)
Source: RNAcentral
CAUGGYGGAGGAGGUGGGCCCCUGGCGGUUGCCAGGUGCGAUGCCUCCACGCUUCCACCCUUGUCUAUUUGCAUCCUUCGUCGUUCCUUCGGCGGGUCCUGACCCGCCGGUGGCAACCUUACAAACCUCUUGCAGUAGCAUCCAAAUCUUCUGAUAAAGUCUUAAAUUCGUAACAACUUUCAACAAUGGAUCUCUUGGUUCUGGCAUCGAUGAAGAACGCAGCGAAAUGCGAUAAGUAGUGUGAAUUGCAGAAUUCAGUGAAUCAUCGAAUCUUUGAACGCACAUUGCGCCCCUUGGUAUUCCAUGGGGUAUGCCUGUUCGAGCGUCAUUUACACCCUCAAGCUCUGYUUGGUGUUGGGCGUCUGUCCCGUAGUGGACUCGCCCCAAAGGCAUUGGCARCGGUCCUGCCGGACCUCCUAAUCGCGCAGCACUGUUCGCGCCUCCUGGAGCSCGUGCGGAUUCGGCGUCCAUCAAGCCCAGAUCUUUUCAA